This 497-nucleotide ribosomal RNA is filed under the name uncultured bacterium. RNAcentral's name for it is "partial 16S ribosomal RNA". It matches the Rfam family "Bacterial small subunit ribosomal RNA", at positions 28 to 507 of the family's 1533-position model. The record is from RNAcentral.
GAUGAACGCUGGCGGCGUGCCUAAUACAUGCAAGUCGAGCGAACGGAUGAGAAGCUUGCUUCUCUGAUGUUAGCGGCGGACGGGUGAGUAACACGUGGAUAACCUACCUAUAAGACUGGGAUAACUUCGGGAAACCGGAGCUAAUACCGGAUAAUAUUUUGAACCGCAUGGUUCAAAAGUGAAAGACGGUCUUGCUGUCACUUAUAGAUGGAUCCGCGCUGCAUUAGCUAGUUGGUAAGGUAACGGCUUACCAAGGCAACGAUGCAUAGCCGACCUGAGAGGGUGAUCGGCCACACUGGAACUGUGACACGGUCCAGACUCCUACGGGAGGCAGCAGUAGGGAAUCUUCCGCAAUGGGCGAAAGCCUGACGGAGCAACGCCGCGUGAGUGAUGAAGGUCUUCGGAUCGUAAAACUCUGUUAUUAGGGAAGAACAUAUGUGUAAGUAACUGUGCACAUCUUGACGGUACCUAAUCAGAAAGCCACGGCUAACUACGUG